Molecule: ribosomal RNA, 483 nt
Filed under: uncultured bacterium
Lineage: Bacteria
Description: partial 16S ribosomal RNA
Rfam family: Bacterial small subunit ribosomal RNA
Source: RNAcentral
UUGAACGCUGGCGGCAUGCUUUACACAUGCAAGUCGAACGGCAGCGCGGGCUUCGGCCUGGCGGCGAGUGGCGAACGGGUGAGUAAUACAUCGGAACGUGCCCAGUAGUGGGGGAUAGCUCGGCGAAAGCCGGAUUAAUACCGCAUACGACCUGAGGGUGAAAGCGGGGGAUCUUCGGACCUCGCGCUAUUGGAGCGGCCGAUGGCAGAUUAGCUAGUUGGUGGGGUAAAGGCCUACCAAGGCGACGAUCUGUAGCUGGUCUGAGAGGACGACCAGCCACACUGGGACUGAGACACGGCCCAGACUCCUACGGGGGGCAGCAGUGGGGAAUUUUGGACAAUGGGCGAAAGCCUGAUCCAGCAAUGCCGCGUGUGUGAUGAAGGCCUUCGGGUUGUAAAGCACUUUUGGCGGGAACGAAAAGGACUGUGCCAAUACCACGGUUCGAUGACGGUACCCGCAGAAUAAGCACCGGCUAACUACGUG